Long non-coding RNA from Alosa sapidissima (American shad), 649 nucleotides. RefSeq lists it as uncharacterized. NCBI's taxonomy places the organism in Eukaryota, Metazoa, Chordata, Actinopteri, Clupeiformes, Clupeidae. The record is from RefSeq and is a predicted model, not a curated record. The transcript has 3 exons.
CAUAUGCCUUGGACUCAACGAACGUUAUCGUUACACACUGGAUAGGAAAGUAUGGUGAUCUGCACUGGUUUUAAACCUCUUUAAGCUUCAAGUUGGCUUUUGAAAGCAUCGUUGUUUUACCCUACUUCAUCAACACCAUGAAAAGUGAACUGGAACUUGUGGUCUGCGUGAUUUGUUGAACUAGAAGACCAUGGAAAAAUGGCGGAGAUAUUCCCAAGUCACUUCUGAUUGUGCUGAGAGCUCAACAGUGCCAAACUUUGACAAAUUGACAUUCGCCAGUUGGCCUCAUUCAAUUCCAUUGCUGUCUGCCUAAUAAUGUCAGUGACCAAGAUUGCAGAUGGUCUCCUUGAUAUCCAGGAAGUCCAGGAGGUAGCUUCCGGUUUUGACCAUCGAGAGGAACUGGACAACUGUGUUGAAACUCCACUGGCGUUGGGACAGGAUUCCUCUGUCUGAUGCAGCUGAAAGUGUUCUCCAGGCAAUCCUCGGACAAGCUACUGUUGAGAAUGCACUUCUGUACCUGGCUUACUUCCAGGAUUAAUGUUGCAGCAGUCACCACUACGUUUUGAACUGGUAUCCAGCUGCCCUUGUGACCAAUUUUCAGGCCACGAAAAAGAUGGAAGGUGUCCCAAUGCAAGUUUAUGGCUUUCUC